UCUUAAAAAAUUAAAAACUCUCAAAUAAACAAAAGAAACAUACAAAAGAAUAACCGUUACACAAUUUGCCCUAACCCUCGAUUACAUUUUCCAUCUCUCUCUCUAACAUUUAUAUUCAUCCAUUUUAGUUACAUACGUGAAAACUUGAGAAAUCAACACACAAUUUCAUUUCGUAUUUUCAGCAUCGAAGAUAGGAAGAGUGAGAGAAAAUAAAUUGAACAUCUGGUUUUUCGGCGACACCUGAAAUUUGGAUCUCCCAAAAAAAUAAAAUUUGAAGGGGUUGCAAGAACGAACGAUUGGCCAACAUAGAUUUCCCCUUCAAGGUAUAUGUAUGGGCUAAUUUGUGCCUUCAUGGGAGGUGUAGAGGAUGGCCAACCACCCACAAAGCGGCUGAAAUUAUCUUGUGCAGGAUCAAGCAAUUUUUCUAGUGGCUUAAGAGCUGAAGAACAACCCGCAUCUGCUCGCUCUUUGAGGGAUUUGAUGGCUCGACCUAUACAAUGCCAGGGGGGAGAAGAGGUGAUUGGUUCAAGAGGGGUGAUAAAAAAACUAGAGUUUGUUCGACUUAUAGCUGGUGCCUUGUAUGCUCUUGGUUAUGAACGUAGUGGUGCUUGCCUAGAGGAAGAAUCUGGUAUACCAUUGCAGUCUGCUGCAGUAAAUUUGCUUAUGCAACAUGUUCUGGAUGGGAGGUGGGAUUGCCUCAAUAUUGCAAAGCAUUGGUGUAGAGGAUGAAACUAUAGUAAAAACAACUAAGUUUUUUUAUCUUGGAGCAGAAAUUUUUUGAGCUUUUAGAUGAUGGGAAGACAAUGGACGCUUUAAAGACAUUGAGGACUGAAAUAUCACCUCUGCAUAUAAAAACAAGUAGAGUGCAUGAGAUUUUUUCUUGUUUUCUUUAUCAUCCGCAGAGUCAAAAUGGAUUUGCACGCAGAGACUCUAUGAAAGGAAAAUUGCGUUCAGAAGUUUUUGAUGAACUGCAGAAAUUGCUUCCUCCUACAAUAAUGGUACCUGCUAAAAGGCUGGAAUAUCUAGUGGAACAGGCCUUGAAUUUGCAGUGUGAGGCCUGCAUGUUUCACAACUCUGCAGACUGGGAGAUGUCAUUUAUACUGACCAUCACUGCGGAAGAGACAAUAUCGUACUUUACAGGUUAGUGUAUUUUUUCCAUACCUGUAUAAAGCUUCUUGUAAUUGUGCUCCCCUCGCCUUUCCUUCUCUUUCUCUGUGAUUUUAGGUUUUCUAUUAGCACAGUAUUCAUUGUGGUGUUUUACUUUGCUCUUCUAUUGGAAGGUAAAUUGAGAUUUUUGUUCUCAGAGUGGAUAUAGUUUCACAAUGUUUGCUGUUAUUUUUGGUCUAUCAAUCAAGUCACUUAUAUUUGCAUUGCAA
Molecule: long non-coding RNA, 1376 nt
Organism: Beta vulgaris subsp. vulgaris (sugar beet)
Lineage: Eukaryota; Viridiplantae; Streptophyta; Magnoliopsida; Caryophyllales; Amaranthaceae
Exons: 2
Source: RefSeq, a predicted model, not a curated record